This 468-nucleotide ribosomal RNA is filed under the name uncultured bacterium. RNAcentral describes it as "partial 16S ribosomal RNA". It matches the Rfam family "Bacterial small subunit ribosomal RNA", at positions 28 to 507 of the family's 1533-position model. The record is from RNAcentral.
GACGAACGCUGGCGGCGUGCUUAACACAUGCAAGUCGAACGGAAAGGCCCUGCUUUUGUGGGGUGCUCGAGUGGCGAACGGGUGAGUAACACGUGAGUAACCUGCCCCUGACUUUGGGAUAACUUCAGGAAACUGGGGCUAAUACCGGAUAGGAGCUCCUGCUGCAUGGUGGGGGUUGGAAAGUUUCGGCGGUUGGGGAUGGACUCGCGGCUUAUCAGCUUGUUGGUGGGGUAGUGGCUUACCAAGGCUUUGACGGGUAGCCGGCCUGAGAGGGUGACCGGCCACCUUGGGACUGCGAUACGGCCCAGACUCCUACGGGAGGCAGCAGUGGGGAAUAUUGCACAAUGGGCGGACGCCUGAUGCAGCAGCGCCGCGUGCGUGAUGCCGUCCUUCGGGUUGUAAACCGCUUUCGCCUGUGACGAAGCGUGAGUGACGGUAAUGGGUAAAGAAGCACCGGCUAACUACGUG